Molecule: ribosomal RNA, 484 nt
Filed under: uncultured bacterium
Lineage: Bacteria
Description: partial 16S ribosomal RNA
Rfam family: Bacterial small subunit ribosomal RNA
Source: RNAcentral
AUUGAACGCUGGCGGCAUGCCUAACACAUGCAAGUCGAGCGGACGAAGGGAGCUUGCUCCUGGAUUCAGCGGCGGACGGGUGAGUAAUGCCUAGGAAUCUGCCUGGUAGUGGGGGAUAACGUCCGGAAACGGGCGCUAAUACCGCAUACGUCCUGAGGGUGAAAGGGGGGGAUCUUCGGACCUCGCGCUAUCAGAUGAGCCUAGGUCGGAUUAGCUAGUUGGUGGGGUAAAGGCGUACCAAGGCGACGAUCCGUAACUGGUCUGAGAGGAUGAUCAGUCACACUGGAACUGAGACACGGUCCAGACUCCUACGGGAGGCAGCAGUGGGGAAUAUUGGACAAUGGGCGAAAGCCUGAUCCAGCCAUGCCGCGUGUGUGAAGAAGGUCUUCGGAUUGUAAAGCACUUUAAGUUGGGAGGAAGGGCAGUAAGUUAAUACCUUGCUGUUUUGACGUUACCAACAGAAUAAGCACCGGCUAACUUCGUG